RNAcentral lists this ribosomal RNA (926 nucleotides) under uncultured organism. Its description in RNAcentral is "bacterial SSU rRNA". It matches the Rfam family "Bacterial small subunit ribosomal RNA", at positions 1 to 917 of the family's 1533-position model. The record is from RNAcentral.
UGGAUCCAGACUUUGAUUAUGGCUCAGGAUGAACGCUAGCUACAGGCUUAACACAUGCAAGUCGAGGGGAAACGACAUCGAAAGCUUGCUUUUGAUGGGCGUCGACCGGCGCACGGGUGAGUAACGCGUAUCCAACCUGCCCACCACUUGGGGAUAACCUUGCGAAAGUAAGACUAAUACCCAAUGAUAUCUCUAGAAGACAUCUGAAGGAGAUUAAAGGUUUAUCGGUGAUGGAUGGGGAUGCGUCUGAUUAGCUUGUUGGCGGGGUAACGGCCCACCAAGGCUACGAUCAGUAGGGGUUCUGAGAGGAAGGUCCCCCACAUUGGAACUGAGACACGGUCCAAACUCCUACGGGAGGCAGCAGUGAGGAAUAUUGGUCAAUGGGCGAGAGCCUGAACCAGCCAAGUAGCGUGCAGGAUGACGGCCCUAUGGGUUGUAAACUGCUUUUAUAAGGGAAUAAAGUGAGCCUCGUGAGGCUUUUUGCAUGUACCUUAUGAAUAAGGACCGGCUAAUUCCGUGCCAGCAGCCGCGGUAAUACGGAAGGUCCGGGCGUUAUCCGGAUUUAUUGGGUUUAAAGGGAGCGUAGGCCGGAGAUUAAGCGUGUUGUGAAAUGUAGAUGCUCAACAUCUGCACUGCAGCGCGAACUGGUUUCCUUGAGUACGCACAAAGUGGGCGGAAUUCGUGGUGUAGCGGUGAAAUGCUUAGAUAUCACGAAGAACUCCGAUUGCGAAGGCAGCUCACUGGAGCGCAACUGACGCUGAAGCUCGAAAGUGCGGGUAUCGAACAGGAUUAGAUACCCUGGUAGUCCGCACGGUAAACGAUGGAUGCCCGCUGUUGGUCUGAAUAGGUCAGCGGCCAAGCGAAAGCAUUAAGCAUCCCACCUGGGGAGUACGCCGGCAACGGUGCAACUCAAAGGAAUUGACGGA